CCUACGGGAGGCAGCAGUGAGGAAUAUUGGUCAAUGGACGAGAGUCUGAACCAGCCAAGUAGCGUGAAGGAUGACUGCCCUAUGGGUUGUAAACUUCUUUUAUAUGGGAAUAAAAUGUUCCACGUGUGGGAUUUUGUAUGUACCAUAUGAAUAAGGAUCGGCUAACUCCGCGCCAGCAGCCGCGGUAAUACGGAGGAUCCGAGCGUUAUCCGGAUUUAUUGGGUUUAAAGGGAGCGUAGGUGGAUUGUUAAGUCAGUUGUGAAAGUUUGCGGCUCAACCGUAAAAUUGCAGUUGAAACUGGCAGUCUUGAGUACAGUAGAGGUGGGCGGAAUUCGUGGUGUAGCGGUGAAAUGCUUAGAUAUCACGAAGAACUCCGAUUGCGAAGGCAGUUCACUGGACUGCAACUGACACUGAGGCUCGAAAGUGUGGGUAUCAAACAGGAUUAGAUACCCCUGUAGUC
This 460-nucleotide ribosomal RNA is filed under the name uncultured bacterium. Its description in RNAcentral is "partial 16S ribosomal RNA". It matches the Rfam family "Bacterial small subunit ribosomal RNA", at positions 338 to 795 of the family's 1533-position model. The record is from RNAcentral.